RNAcentral lists this transfer RNA (76 nucleotides) under Hufsiella ginkgonis. RNAcentral's name for it is "tRNA-Lys". It matches the Rfam family "tRNA". Rfam says of the family: Transfer RNA (tRNA) molecules are approximately 80 nucleotides in length. Their secondary structure includes four short double-helical elements and three loops (D, anti-codon, and T loops). Lineage: Bacteria; Pseudomonadati; Bacteroidota; Sphingobacteriia; Sphingobacteriales; Sphingobacteriaceae. The record is from RNAcentral.
GACUCGGUAGCUCAGCCGGUAGAGCAAGUGACUCUUAAUCACUGGGUCGAGAGUUCGAGCCUCUCCCGGGUCACCA